GAUGAACGCUGGCGGCGUGCCUAAUACAUGCAAGUCGAGCGAACGGACGAGAAGCUUGCUUCUCUGAUGUUAGCGGCGGACGGGUGAGUAACACGUGGAUAACCUACCUAUAAGACUGGGAUAACUUCGGGAAACCGUAGCUAAUACCGGAUAAUAUUUUGAACCGCAUGGUUCAAAAGUGAAAGACGGUCUUGCUGUCACUUAUAGAUGGAUCCGCGCUGCAUUAGCUAGUUGGUAAGGUAACGGCUUACCAAGGCAACGAUGCAUAGCCGACCUGAGAGGGUGAUCGGCCACACUGGAACUGAGACGCGGUCCAGACUCCUACGGGAGGCAGCAGUAGGGAAUCUUCCGCAAUGGGCGAAAGCCUGACGGAGCAACGCCGCGUGAGUGAUGAAGGUCUUCGGAUCGUAAAACUCUGUUAUUAGGUAAGAACAUAUGUGUAAGUAACUGUGCACAUCUUGACGGUACCUAAUCAGAAAGCCACGGCUAACUACGUG
Molecule: ribosomal RNA, 497 nt
Filed under: uncultured bacterium
Lineage: Bacteria
Description: partial 16S ribosomal RNA
Rfam family: Bacterial small subunit ribosomal RNA
Source: RNAcentral